RNAcentral lists this ribosomal RNA (772 nucleotides) under uncultured fungus. Its description in RNAcentral is "SSU rRNA". It matches the Rfam family "Eukaryotic small subunit ribosomal RNA", at positions 564 to 1342 of the family's 1831-position model. Lineage: Eukaryota; Fungi. The record is from RNAcentral.
GUGCCAGCAGCCGCGGUAAUUCCAUGUCUCCAAUAGCGUAUAUUAAAGUUGUUGUGGUUAAAAAGCUCGUAGUUGAACCUUGGGCCUGGCUGGCCGGUCCGCCUCACCGCGUGCACUGGUCCGGCCGGGCCUUUCCCUCUGUGGAACCCCAUACCCUUCACUGGGCGUGGCGGGGAAACAGGACAUUUACUUUGAAAAAAUUAGAGUGCUCCAGGCAGGCCUAUGCUCGAAUACAUUAGCAUGGAAUAAUAAAAUAGGACGCGCGGUUCUAUUUUGUUGGUUUAUAGGACCGCCGUAAUGAUUAAUAGGGACAGUCGGGGGCAUCAGUAUUCAACUGUCAGAGGUGAAAUUCUUGGAUCAGUUGAAGACUAACUACUGCGAAAGCAUUUGCCAAGGAUGUUUUCAUUAAUCAGGAACGAAAGUUAGGGGAUCGAAGACGAUCAGAUACCGUCGUAGUCUUAACCAUAAACUAUGCCGACUAGGGAUCGGACGGUGUUAUUCAUGACCCGUUCGGCACCUUACGAGAAAUCAAAGUGCUUGGGCUCCAGGGGGAGUAUGGUCGCAAGGCUGAAACUUAAAGAAAUUGACGGAAGGGCACCACCAGGGGUGAGCCUGCGGCUUAAUUUGACUCAACACGGGGAAACUCACCAGGUCCAGACACAAUAAGGAUUGACAGAUUGAGAGCUCUUUCUUGAUUUUGUGGGUGGUGGUGCAUGGCCGUUCUUAGUUGGUGGGGUGACUUGUCUGCUUAAUUGCGAUAACGAACGAGACC